CCUACGGGAGACAGCAGUAGGGAAUUUUCGUCAAUGGGCGCAAGCCUGAACGAGCAAUGCCGCGUGAACGAGGAAGGUCUUCGGAUCGUAAAGUUCUGUUGAAGGGGAAAAAGAGCGGAGAGAGGAAAUGAACUCCGAUUGAUAUUACCCUUCGAGGAAGUCCCGGCUAACUACGUGCCAGCAGCCGCGGUAAUACGUAGGUGGCGAGCGUUAUCCGGAAUGAUUGGGCGUAAAGGGUGCGUAGGCGGCCUGCUAAGUCUGGAGUGAAAGGUACCGGCUCAACCGGUACAGGCUCUGGAAACUGGCGGGCUAGAGAGCAGGAGAGGGCGGUGGAACGCCAUGUGUAGCGGUAAAAUGCGUAGAUAUAGGGAAGAACACCAGUGGCGAAGGCGGCCGCCUGGCCUGUGACUGACGCUGAGGCACGAAAGCGUGGGGAGCAAAUAGGAUUAGAUACCCCGGUAGUC
This 464-nucleotide ribosomal RNA is filed under the name uncultured bacterium. RNAcentral's name for it is "partial 16S ribosomal RNA". It matches the Rfam family "Bacterial small subunit ribosomal RNA", at positions 338 to 795 of the family's 1533-position model. The record is from RNAcentral.